AAGUCGUAACAAGGUCUCCGUAGGUGAACCUGCGGAGGGAUCAUUAACACGUUUUAAAACACGUUUUAACACACCCAACAACCAACCACGUGAACUAUUUAACACUCCUGGAAAAGAGAGAAUUCUGUCUAUGCAAACACUAAUGAUGAGCUCUCGCAAGGGAGCGGUGUGUGUAGACUAGCAUUGCAGGCAACUGACUUUGUAAAGACCUUUCUUUUCUGGGCUAAAUGCCUCUCUCAUCACUGGGGCGAAAACACCACUUUCACUACUUCUAUAACCAUUGACUGUAUCUUUUUUUAAUUUCUCUGCGCAAGCAGUGUAAUUGAAAGAAACCAUAAUCAAAUAUCUAAGCACAACUCUUAGCAACGGAUAUCUUGGUUCUC
Molecule: unclassified non-coding RNA, 383 nt
Filed under: fungal sp.
Lineage: Eukaryota; Fungi
Description: partial internal transcribed spacer region
Rfam family: Eukaryotic small subunit ribosomal RNA (bases 1-46)
Source: RNAcentral